RNAcentral lists this long non-coding RNA (724 nucleotides) under Citrus x clementina. RNAcentral describes it as "Citrus clementina (C. clementina) long non-coding RNA (CCLE_LNC001484)". The record is from RNAcentral. Lineage: Eukaryota; Viridiplantae; Streptophyta; Magnoliopsida; Sapindales; Rutaceae.
UUCUUUUAGUUAGUUUGUUCAUGGAUAGGACGGAAUUAAAUAUUUUUAGCCUACAAACCAAUCCGCAAAAUGGUGGAUUGGAUAUGGAUUGGGUCAAAUCCACAUCAAAUCCACAGAUGCAUGGAUUGGAUUAAAAAUUUACAAUCUGCAAAAUCGUGGAUCAAAUAUGAAUUGAUGUUUAAUCCGCAAAAUCCGAUUCACAAACAUCCCUACAAAAUAUUGUCGCUUAGAUAAUGACUUUGUCGAUUACCCUUUUAUCAAAAUCUCCUUUCUUCUCUUCUUCUUAUUUUAUUUUAUUUUAUUUUUAAUUUAGAUUCAGAUUACACAUAAAAAAAAAAAAUUCUCAUACCAAUUUUGAUAAACAAAAUGAUGUCGCAUGAAAAUAAUGAAUGAGUAAAAAUCAAAUUUAUGUUCAUUUUACCACUAUCAAUCGUAUAAGCUUUUGUGUUGAUGCUUUACAAAAGUUCAAACUAAUCAAUGUAGGCAAGACUUAGAAGGAUCAGCUAGAAAAAAAAAAAUUGGAUGCAUGCUUUGGUUAAAUGCUGCUAGAGUGAUCGCCAAGAAUAACGAGAUUAAAAAAAAAUUAAAAAAAAAACUCCAGUAGAGACUGCAGUCACUAAGGGUGCCUUUGGUAUCAUUUAAUUUCCAAUUGGUGUUUUCUAUAUUUAUUUUAAAGAAGUAAAAUAUGUUUUUGAUGUGAUGUUCCCAAAUUGAAGAGGCUUUC